This 471-nucleotide ribosomal RNA is filed under the name Triticum aestivum (bread wheat). RNAcentral's name for it is "partial small subunit ribosomal RNA". The record is from RNAcentral. Lineage: Eukaryota; Viridiplantae; Streptophyta; Magnoliopsida; Poales; Poaceae.
AUGGUGAGCAAGCUCAACAAGGUCACCUGGCCCAAAGGAAGAUUUGUAGACACCGUCAAGGUGUGGCAGCAGGAGUGGUUCUACAAACCCCACGGCACCAAGUGGGCCCCCGCUCCUGCCUUCAGAUCAAGACCUCUACUGUGGCUCGCAUCCUGGACUAACAAGGGCCUAGAUUGGGGGUCCCUCGACGAUGUGUCGGUGCUGCAACAGCGCGUCAAGAGCAUGAUAAACAAGGACAUCACCCUUGCCGAUGUGAUUCAAGUGAUGCUCAUCCGCCAAAUUCUCUCCUACCAACGACGGGCCCUUAAAAUGUGGGAGUUCAACCUGGAGAGAGCAUGGACUCUGUGGCACUUCUAUGGCAUGACGCACAAGAAGAUCUGGAAGCUGCUUUUCAAGAAGAAGAAGACGUGGCCACAGACGUCUGACGACACCGGGCCCGACUGCAACAAUCCGGCCUCCCAGACUGGGUAA